RNAcentral lists this ribosomal RNA (387 nucleotides) under uncultured bacterium. RNAcentral describes it as "bacterial SSU rRNA". It matches the Rfam family "Bacterial small subunit ribosomal RNA", at positions 28 to 417 of the family's 1533-position model. The record is from RNAcentral.
AUUGAACGCUGGCGGCAUGCCUUACACAUGCAAGUCGAACGGCAGCACGGGGGCAACCCUGGUGGCGAGUGGCGAACGGGUGAGUAAUACAUCGGAACGUGCCCGGUAGUGGGGGAUAGCUCGGCGAAAGCCGGAUUAAUACCGCAUACGACCUACGGGUGAAAGCGGGGGACCGCAGGGCCUCGCGCUAUUGGAGCGGCCGAUGUCAGAUUAGGUUGUUGGUGGGGUAAAGGCCCACCAAGCCGACGAUCUGUAGCUGGUCUGAGAGGACGACCAGCCACACUGGGACUGAGACACGGCCCAGACUCCUACGGGAGGCAGCAGUGGGGAAUUUUGGACAAUGGGCGCAAGCCUGAUCCAGCCAUGCCGCGUGCGGGAAGAAGGCCU